This is a long non-coding RNA of Callithrix jacchus (white-tufted-ear marmoset), 898 nucleotides long. RefSeq lists it as uncharacterized. The record is from RefSeq and is a predicted model, not a curated record. NCBI's taxonomy places the organism in Eukaryota, Metazoa, Chordata, Mammalia, Primates, Cebidae.
UUCACAGCAGAAGAGUGUGUGACACCUCACCAUCACCUCACAAUGUCAUGAAUCCACAGAGAAUGUUCAGAGCCAAUUUCAUUGGCCUUUCUAUGAGUGCUGUGAGCUCACUGAGAGUCACCACCAUUUCCAUGCUACAGAUAGGAAAUGGGAAGCCCCAGGCCUACCCAUGGUGACACGCUCAGCAGAGCCUGGGCCAAAAGUCAAGUCUUCAUGUGCUACUUCUAAAGGAGAAAGCACCGAAGCUCAACAUGUUUCCACAUCAAAUUCCAACAGAAAAGACUCAACUUACAUUCAAAUGCCACUGUACGAGACGCUGGAUUUGACCCGAACAUAGGAAGCAUGGUUAAUCACUUUUAUCUGACAAUUUCAGAUAUGCAGUAGCAAUUGCACAGGUACCUGCUACCCAAACAUGCGCUGGAGAAGCAAGACGAAGCAAGCCAAUUUCGCUCUCAUCCUGGAGAGCCAGCUGAAGCCUCGGGUUCUACAGGGGAGAGACAGGCUUCUGUGCGAUGUCAGACCAGCUCCCUCAUAGCAUUACCUAACAGCAGAGGCAAGAGGCUGAACUUACAGGACCCCAGCUCUCAUGAUAGAGCUGGUUCUGAAACCCGCAAAGGCCCUCUAGAUAAGCCGUGAUAGGACGUUCAGCGGCGCCCGGAGUGAGGCAAUUUGGUUUCCCAGAUUGAACAUUGGAAGGCUGACCAUCAGGAUCCCCAAAUACUCCACCUGCCAAGCACUGCGCAGUGACAUUGCACUCUGGCAGUUACCCCAACCACAGCCCAGCAUAGCUGUGUGCACACACUGCCCAGCACGGUGCCAUCCACACAGCUGACUGACAUAGAAGAGAGUCGUGUGUCUCUAUAGCAUUAAUAAUAUUGAUAAUAAAAGUAUUAUCCGU